UUUCCCAUAUUUUCCCAUUUUUACCGAUGAAUUCAUAAGUAAAUUCAAGUUGAUUUCUGUGCAACUUGUUUGUGAUGUGUUUUUUUCCCUAUGUGUGUUGGAUCACCUUUCAUAUUUCUUGUUAUAACGUGUAGGAAGGAACGCGGAAGGCAACUAGCCAAGUACAAGUAGCCUACCAUCAAUUCUUUCAUUAAAAUCGUCGUUCUGCUGAAUGCUCCACCCUAUUAAUACAGGUCUUUUAAAUACCCCAGUGUGGACACUUGUUGUUUUUUCCAACAUGUUUCUACAAAGAAAGCUAUGGGAACAUAAUCAAGGCCAUGGGUAAUCUUCAUCAGGCAACUUAAAUAAUUCACAUAAAGAUGCAGGGCGCAUACCAACAUGUGUUGUAUUUUCCUGAAUGUUUUUUACUCAAGCAGUAGAUUCAACAUGCAUAACUGUUUGAUGCCAAAGUUAGUUGGAACUCUAACUCAAACACAGAUAAUUGUUACUGCUGCCUUUCAGCCACAGGCAGGAAAAUGAUUGUUUUCUUCACAAAAUUGUAAUUUGGAAAGCUGCUGGAGUAAUCUAGUGUCCAUCCCCACUUGAUUCAUUUCGUAGCUAGUGAAAGACUGAAAGGCGUGACGAAUUCAAAUUUAGCUGCUGCGUGCUGUCUGCAAGCAAGCAAUCCAAUUGGCUGUCGCUAGGUGGCGCUAGUCAAUCUUCAGCGACUAAAUUCGGCCAUUUUGAUCCUUGACGCAGCAGAAGUGAGGUGCCGGUCGUGACGUUUCCCAAAAUGAAAAGGUGAUUUCAAUACCAAUUUGUUAAAUCAUCUAACUCGGAUUUGAGUGCCUCUUCAUUUUGCCGAAAUGUCGUGCCUCGUGUGUCUUGCUGCCUGUACCCGUACGUCUCGUCCCAUGCAAAAGCAAAAGUCCGCUGUUGGUUACCUUGUUGCAGCCUGAUGGUGUAAGAUGUGAUGAAGACUAGUUGGACUGUUGUAUGCAGCGUGUGGUUCCAGUGUUACCCAGAAGUAGCUGUGCUGGCGGUCUCCUGAAGUUGCCAGUGAUAUCCGGACUGCUGACUUUAAAUAUUCUUGUCUGUUCUCAUUUGUGUUUUUUGCUUUGCAAGUGGUAUUCUGUGUUGCUGAUUUUAAAUAUUUUUAUCCGUUUUUAUUUGUGGUUUUGCUCUGCCAGUGAGUUUCUGACUUGAAUUGGUUUCAUCUGUUGUCUUUUGCCUUCUUACUUGUGCAAUGUGCAGUAUACGAUUGUGGCAAUCUGACCCCAUGUCAGAUUUGACAUAGUCGACAACUGCUAGAUUAAAUUCCGGCUUUCUGCACCAACAAAAUAAUAACGGCACAUGUUAUUAUCGCGGUUGGGAAAGUCACAGGCCCCCC
RNAcentral lists this long non-coding RNA (1369 nucleotides) under Daphnia pulex (common water flea). Its description in RNAcentral is "uncharacterized LOC124207167, transcript variant X1". Lineage: Eukaryota; Metazoa; Arthropoda; Branchiopoda; Diplostraca; Daphniidae. The record is from RNAcentral.